Sebastes umbrosus (honeycomb rockfish) is the source of this 753-nucleotide long non-coding RNA. RefSeq lists it as uncharacterized. The transcript is spliced from 4 exons. The record is from RefSeq and is a predicted model, not a curated record. Lineage: Eukaryota; Metazoa; Chordata; Actinopteri; Perciformes; Sebastidae.
GCUCUCCACAUAUACCCACUUUGUUUGUUCCUUUGUCAGAUCAUCUUAGUUCCAAUGCGUCUUUCUGUUACCUGUCUACCUGCCUGUUGGAUUGACUGCUGCUAUUUGGACUCUUGAUGCCUGAUACCCAGAUGUCACGACCAAUCCUUGCAAUUCAUCCGCUGUGCAUGUGUGAGGCUUCAGACCAGACGUGACAUUUGAAAAAGAGCCGUCCAUCGCAGCGGGACAAGAAGAGGCCGAGACAGAAAAUCAAAACGUGCAGUGAUUGAGCUCCUCCACCGCCGCAAGUCACGGUCUGACAAAAAUCCCAUCUGGCAGAUCAAAUUCCCAUAAUGCUCUGUGGUGGCAGACAGAGAGCGCCGGGAUCCGGUCUGUCAGGAGCCCGGUGGAUUACACCCAUCACAGUCCUGUCACCAUUUGCAGGACGGCUGAGCAGUGGGGGGGAAAGGUCAAACUCCUCGUUGCCUGCAUCUCUUUUGCUUCUUCUUCUUGUUGUUGCUGCAGCACCAGCACAGGCGGAGUUGUCAACAUGUGAGAGGACAAAUUGUCUUGAAGGACAAAUUCUGGAAAUAAUAAAGCUUUAAAGAGAUAGUUCAGGUGUAUUGAAGUGAGGUACUUAUUCAUAGUAGUGUAUCACUUACAGCAGAUGACGGUCGUUGUGCCCCUAGCUUCGAGAAAAAGACAUGAGUACAGAGACCAGAGCAAAGCAAUACAGUGCUGUGGAUGGGAACGGCAGAAAAACGUAUUUUAGCC